Molecule: long non-coding RNA, 2459 nt
Organism: Stegodyphus dumicola
Lineage: Eukaryota; Metazoa; Arthropoda; Arachnida; Araneae; Eresidae
Source: RefSeq, a predicted model, not a curated record
UGAGGAUCUACCUGUCAGCCGCCCGGACAAGGAAUUCUUUGUGUGCAGAUUUGAGGAGAGGUGCUGGUCGCACCUUUUCGACGUGAUCUGAUGUGGAUUAUUUAGAUUAUGGCAAAGCAUGCGAGAGCUAUCUGGCUACGAGAAAGGAAGAUCCGUGAAGAAAUGAGGAAGCUGGCUUGUAUUCACGAUAAACAUGAGUUUUCCAGAUUUCGAACACAGGUCGAAUUAACAGUGUUCAGGGUUUUUGAAACUCUGUCACUUUAUGGACCACUGGACGCUCUAGAUUUUAAAGUUAAUGUCAGUGGAAGAAAAAGAAGAUAACUUGGUAGUCCCUCCAUUAUUACAUCCCGGAAGAUGUGAACUGAAUUACACCCCAAUAAAAUAAAAUUCGUGCUUAUGCCUGGAAUGCUGAAUGGACAAGAAAGCAAUGUUUAUUGAUCACGUAUCUUAUAUCAAGUGUUGUCACUGCGUAGAAUAUAAGACCUUUUAUUUUAGCCAAGGUCGGAGAAAAGUUUUUUAGCCUCAUAAAAUUGCAGUUGCUCAAGCAUUUAAAAAAAAAGGAAAAAAAAAAAAAACAAAGAAAAACAUAAAUAUUAAUUAAAACAAUCUACGAAUCUUAUAUGUAAAGCUUUCUUGAAGAUGUGGAUUAUUUACAAACUCGGAAAUGACUAUGGGGAUUUAAAGAAAAAUGGUAAAAGUAUGUUUAUUAAAUAAAAAAGUAUCUUCAGCGGAUUUAAUGCUCAAUAAAUUUUUAUAAAUUUGGAAAUAUCAGCUGCGAGAUUGAGAACAUCAUUAUUCAGUCAUAGAUUAAAAAUAUGCAGGUCCAUAAAAUGGCUGAAAUUACCUUACUGCCGUUUAAAUGUGAAAUACUUAAGCAGAAAGCUUAAGAAAUGAAAUAUUAUAGAAAGUACAAAACAUAAAUUCACUUGGUAGAAGAAAAGAAUGGUACAGAGGAGUUUAUGCAAAAUAUAUAGUAACGUCAGUUAUGCAGUAUUAUCCGUUGCUUCCGAGCAAGUGUGAAGCGACAAACAAGACAUGAAAAAGUGGGCGGGACACCAGAACUUUACCUAUUCGUUUUACAGUACUCUACUUUCUGUACACUGUACUUUCUGAAUAGCUCCCUGUGAAUAUUGGAGAACACUCUGAUGGACGGAUCCGAGGAUUUUUCAACCAGUCCUUUCCUGCCACCAAGACUGUGUGGAGGAUUUAAGUGUUCCCCAUGCCUUACAGAUAUUGAACACUUAUAAACAUUCGACUUCUGCAUCGUACUGCCAGGGAUUUCUAUCAGGGCCCUACGAUAUGGCUGUCAGUGUCGCUACUACACGGAUCAGAAUGACAAAGCGACGUACAUCUCUCAAAGCUGAGUGAGAAUAAAAAUUAAGUGAACGAGAAUAAAAAGUAACAACGAUUUUAGCAAUUUUUAAUGCAUUGUUAGACCUCAUCUAAUGGACCACAGCAUUUUGGUGGAAGUAAUGAAGUUUGGAUUUUGAUGGGUAACCAUUACAAGGGUGCAUCGUGAGUACAUCUAACGCCCCUGAAGGUAUCAUCGCUGAAGGUUUACAACACCAAUGUGGCCUUAAAAAGACGUUAGAUAAACGUGACUAUCGUCUGCUGUCAAGACUCUUUUCGUGCCACAGACGGGAAACAAUCUGGCAACUAAAACCAGAAUUCAGUGCUGAAGACGCAAUAAGCAUCAGCAUCCAGACUAUACAGCUACUCUGCAGGAUAUGGACUUUAGAACUGACGGGUUUUUCGAGUUCCCUUGAUGACUAUACGACAGAGCAAUGCGUUUCACUUGAGCAUGGAAACACCAAUACUGGGCACGUGAUGAAUGGAAAGAGAAGCGUGGUAUAACGAGUCACAUUUUCAAAUGCAUCGGAAUAUGGAAGGAUUUGCAUGUGACGCAAACCCCAUAUAUCUUUCGUGUCAACAGGAAACUGUACCGACUGGUGAGAGGAGCCUAAAUGGCAUUGGGUGUAUUUAACUGGAAAUUACAUUUACAAACGGUAUGUGUACAUUCUUUCUGACAAAGUACGCACGUUUAUAACAAAGUAUACUUAUAUAUAUGCUAGUAAAAUUUUACCUGAUCUAAGAGGACAAUGCGCUCACACGCAAAUGUCGGAAGGCUGAUAUUAUAGUUACGGAAACAUUCAUCUCAGCUUUGGAGUUUUGCUAUUUCCAAUCAGGACCACAUAUGCUAACAUUAUAAAACAUAUUAGGGAUACCAUACAACAAGUUAUCGAAUGGAGAAAUCCAAGAUAUCUUGGUUCGAUUAACUAUAGGUUCGAUAACCUGACUAUCUGUAUCGAAUAGAGAAAUCUAAGACCUGAAUUUUGGAACUAUCUGAUAGAGGUAUAGGAUGCACUGCCUGCAAUAUAUUUCCAUAAAUUUGCUCCAUCGUAUUUCUGUGGUCCUUUGCUCCCGGAGUGUACUUAUUUGUGCUUAUCGAACUAUUUGUG